This 459-nucleotide ribosomal RNA is filed under the name uncultured Planctomyces sp. RNAcentral's name for it is "bacterial SSU rRNA". It matches the Rfam family "Bacterial small subunit ribosomal RNA", at positions 930 to 1382 of the family's 1533-position model. Lineage: Bacteria; Pseudomonadati; Planctomycetota; Planctomycetia; Planctomycetales; Planctomycetaceae. The record is from RNAcentral.
CGGUGGAGCAUGUGGCUUAAUUCGAGGCAACGCGAAGAACCUUAUCCUGGGCUUGACAUGGUCGGAUUAGCUCUCUGAAAGGAGAGUGACGCCUUCGGGUGGAACGAUCACAGGUGCUGCAUGGCUGUCGUCAGCUCGUGUCGUGAGAUGUCGCGUUAAGUCGCUAAACGAGCGCAACCCCUGUCCUUAGUUGCCAACACGUCAUGGUGGGGACUCUAAGGAGACCGCCGGCGUCAAGCCGGAGGAAGGCGGGGAUGACGUCAAGUCCUCAUGGCCUUUAUGCCCAGGGCUGCACACGUGCUACAAUGGGGCGUACAGAGGGAAGCCAAGCUGCGAAGCGGAGCAAAUCCCAGAAAGCGUCCCCCAGUUCGGAUUGCAGGCUGCAACUCGCCUGCAUGAAGCCGGAAUCGCUAGUAAUCGCGGGUCAGCAAUACCGCGGUGAAUGUGUUCCUGAGCCUU